AAUCUUGAAGUUGGAGUGUGAAUUUUACACUAUUUGGAGUUGAUCUAACACUGCAUUUUCUUAAAAAUGUUAAAUUUAACACUGGAUCAUGAAAGUGUUGUAGUUAAAAUGGAGUGUUGAAAAUGUUCAAAUCUUGUUAGUGUCACAGUAAAGACAUUCAACACUUCCACACUCCAUUUAACACCUAACAGUGUUCACUGUCUUAAGCUCCGCCCACGGACAUUUCAUUUAGACUCCACCACUCACUUCACGUUGCUGAAAUGAAAAGCAGAUGGAAGAAGUUGACAAUUAGGAAUCAUUUUGCAUCAGUAGUGUUGCUGUGAGCUGAAUCGGCACUGCCUGUGCAACAUUUGGCAAAGUAAGUGAACGCUACGUUACAUCUUCAUUAUACUGUCUUCAUUUUGAAUAAGCUAAUGGCUAACUAGCUAAUUAGCACGAGGAGCCCCCACAUGUAGGCCUGCUGGCCCCCAGCAAAGGACUUGAUAUGCUGUACAAGAUACAAGAUAUCAAGGUUGGGCAACUGUAAUUGUUACUUUAACUUAAAAAUAAUUGUCAGGCGUGUGUUGGAAGUGAACUACACAAUUUUUUUUUAGAAUGAUGCAUCUUUAUUUUUCUUCUUGAUUCACAGAAAACCUUUGCUGGAGUCUUACAUGAAUGUGAGGUGGAUGGAGAUGUGUAGACUCCACUAUCCCUUCACCCCAGUUAUCGCCAGUGGUGGUGAGCCUCCACUCUUGCCGACUACAUCCCAUUCAUUGGGUUCAACAAUUUAUCCUUCAGCCCACAAGAGGAACCCAACAGAACCAAUGGAUCAGGAUGAAGCAUGACAGAAAGUCGGUGGUGUUUUGAGGGCCAAUCCGAAAGGUGAGGAAAUCUUCAAGGAGUGCAACAAGACUGAAACACUAACCGAUGCAAGGUGUAAACAGAUGGUGAACAUCCUGGUUGCAGAUAUGAUGGAGCUGCAUGGGAGGGUUCCGCCAUCAUGUGUGAUGAGAAAUUACGCCCUGAGAAUUGUGACUUGUUUUCCAUACCUCAAAGAUCCAUUCUCCAAACCUGGAUAUGAUGCUUAGCUUAGCUGCAGUGGCUCAAGAGGUAGAGCAGGUCGUCCAGAAAUCGUAAGCUGUUUGGUGAGGAGUGCAAGGAGGCGCUAUCUACAAUAAGACAUUCAACCGAUGAAUCCGUGGUCAAAGAAGAUGAGAGCAACUUUCCAGUAUUGACAGAAUAUGAUCCAAGCGGAAGAUGUAUCAUCGUCUGUCCUUGAUGUGUUCACUCGCUUCCUUGAUGUUCCAGGAUUGAUUGACCAGGAUUUCUCAAUGAUGUUUGCUGAUGAAGUAUCUCAGAGGUUCCUGGCUAAGUGGUCAACUGUCUUCAAAGCAGAAGUCAUUGCAGACUGCAAGACUCUCCCGCAAAAGCGGAACAUUGAUGAGAUGCUGUCAGGAACUGAACCUCAACCUGAUGACAGCUGUGGCUGGGGCAGUGAUACAUCCUCCAUCCUUCUACUCCUGCAUCUGCUCCCUCUGACCUCUAGAGGCCAGGAAAAAAAACAGCAAAGAUCAGUUUGUCAAGCAGCCAACCAUCUUCUCAGAUAUCUUAAGGAAGGAGCCAGUGUGACCCCCUUCCAAGACUGUUGACACAAGACAAGCAUUUCUCCUCUGCAUCAGUGAGCGAAGGUGACAUCCAGAGGGUUUGCAUGAUUGACCAAAAGCCGAUUACAUGCAAGGCAUAUACAUUUAUUGCAGCUUUUGAUGAAAUGUUCAAAGCUCACUAUGUCUUCAGUCUCUCGUAUGGUUAAAAAUGGAUAAGAGCAAACAUUUGGGUCUGAAUGCUGCCCAGUCAUGGUGUCUUCUAUGUAACACUCCACUUCUAUUUGGUGAUGGCAUUGAAAGGAAGAAUGAUCACUGGAACUUCCUCCUCCUUUUGAUGCAGAUUGUCAACAUACCUGUAGUGUUCUCCUACACCAUAACUGAUGGAAUGAUCCUUUACUUGAAACAUCUGAUAAGUGACCCCCACACUCGGUACAAAGCAUUGCUUCCUGGUAAGAAGUUGAUUCCCAAGCACCGCUUGAUGAUACACUAUCCAAGAUGCAUACAAAAAAUUGGCCCUCUUUUCCAGACGUGGUGAAUGCGUUUUUGAAGCCAAACACAAUUUUUUCAAAAGGAGUGGUUAAAAUUUUUAAAAAUCUCAGCCGUUUGUCGUGGCCUUUCACUAUGAAAAUUAUUAUUUUAGAAGAUUUGAAUUUGGCCCUACAUCAAAAACAAUCUGCAACUUGAAAGGAGGGGAGGAGCGUGGUCAGGCAUGAUGUCUGCAAGCAUCUUCAAGUGUGUCAAGUACCAACUGGGUGAGAAGUUACGGUAUAGAGCACCAUGUUGGUGUGUUCAUAUGUACUGGAUGUAGCUUUGAUCUACCUGUGUUCAAGAAGAUCUGUGAUAUAAUAAAACACAAAGAAUGUGCUUUCAUAAUAGCUGUAAUGUAGAAACGAUGUACUAUGAUGACCCGUUUAACGCGUACUGCAAAGAAGACCAAAUGCUUGAGUUUUCUGUCAUGUGUUUAAAUGAACUGACUCAUUUCAGACCAUUUGACAAGCAGUGCUCUAAUGACAAGUGUCAAGGAGCAUACAUACUGUAGUGCCUGCUGUUAUUUAAGCUACUGUCUGUUGGAAAUGAAAUGUUUUUGAAUAAAAUGUAUGAAGCAGUCAACUAGUCAUUUUUUAAAAAAUUUUAAAUUUUAUUUUGAAGUAGUAUAUUAACACUUUUAUAGUGUUAAUGUUGCAACUCCUUUUGAGAGUAAAAUGACACUAUAAGAGUCAAUAAAUGACUCUUAAGAGAAUUAAUUUGUGACACCUCACACUAGUGUUAAAAAAAUGCAACACCGGUUGGUGUCGAGGAGUGUUAAAUUUUAACUAUAUAAAUAGUUAAUAUUGACUCUACAAUGGUGUAAAAAUGCCUACACUUUCAAAAGUGUUAAAAUAACACUUUGUAGAGUGGACCCCAUGGGACACUUUGAAAGUGUUG
Molecule: long non-coding RNA, 3008 nt
Organism: Dunckerocampus dactyliophorus (ringed pipefish)
Lineage: Eukaryota; Metazoa; Chordata; Actinopteri; Syngnathiformes; Syngnathidae
Exons: 10
Source: RefSeq, a predicted model, not a curated record